GAUGAACGCUGGCGGCGUGCCUAAUACAUGCAAGUCGAGCGAACGGACGAGAAGCUUGCUUUUCUGAUGUUAGCGGCGGACGGGUGAGUAACACGUGGAUAACCUACCUAUAAGACUGGGAUAACUUCGGGAAACCGGAGCUAAUACCGGAUAAUAUUUUGAACCGCAUGGUUCAAAAGUGAAAGACGGUCUUGCUGUCACUUAUAGAUGGAUCCGCGCUGCAUUAGCUAGUUGGUAAGGUAACGGCUUACCAAGGCAACGAUGCGUAGCCGACCUGAAAGAGUGGUAGGCCACACUGGAACUGAGACACGGACCAGACUCCUACGAGACGCAGCAGUAGGGAAUCUUCCGCAAUGGGGGAAAGCCUGGCGGAACAACGCGGCGUGAGAGAUGGAAGUCUUCGGAUCGUAAGACUCUGUUAUUAGGGAAGAACAUAUGUGUAAGUAACUGUGCACAUCGUGACGGUACCUAAUCAGAAAGCAACGGCUAACUACGUG
Molecule: ribosomal RNA, 497 nt
Filed under: uncultured bacterium
Lineage: Bacteria
Description: partial 16S ribosomal RNA
Rfam family: Bacterial small subunit ribosomal RNA
Source: RNAcentral